AUACGGAGGGUGCAAGCGUUAUUCGGAAUCACUGGGCGUAAAGGACGCGUAGGCGGGUUGGCAAGUCAGAUGUGAAAUCCUACAGCUUAACUUUAGAACUGCAUUUGAAACUGCUAACCUAGAGUAUGGGAGGGGGAGAUGGAACUAGUGGUGUAGGGGUAAAAUCCGUAGAUAUCACUAGGAAUACCGAAAGCGAAGGCGAUCUCCUGGAACAUAACUGACGCUAAGGCGUGAAAGCGUGGGGAGCAAACAGGAUUAGAUACCCUUGUAGUCC
RNAcentral lists this ribosomal RNA (274 nucleotides) under uncultured bacterium. RNAcentral's name for it is "partial 16S ribosomal RNA". It matches the Rfam family "Bacterial small subunit ribosomal RNA", at positions 523 to 796 of the family's 1533-position model. The record is from RNAcentral.